AAAGAUCGAAAAACACUUACAAAAUAAGCAGGCCCGAGCCCGUUGUUGAUGAUGUCCGACAGGAGCCCCACCACGUGCUUCAUCCAAAGGUGGAGCUCCUCGACAUGCUCCCACUUCUCGGCCUCCUUCUUGUCGUCGAGGAAGAUAUUGGGCUCGGACGGGUCGGUGGAAGCUCGGAUACGAAUCCGAUCGGGACACCAGUUCUCCAUCUCCCGAUCAGCCCGCGCCUUGACGCCGCGGAUAAGGUUCUCGACGGUCUCGA
This 262-nucleotide long non-coding RNA is filed under the name Sorghum bicolor (sorghum). RNAcentral describes it as "long non-coding RNA (SBIC_LNC017551)". The record is from RNAcentral. Lineage: Eukaryota; Viridiplantae; Streptophyta; Magnoliopsida; Poales; Poaceae.